RNAcentral lists this ribosomal RNA (848 nucleotides) under Leucobacter chromiireducens. Its description in RNAcentral is "bacterial SSU rRNA". It matches the Rfam family "Bacterial small subunit ribosomal RNA", at positions 615 to 1460 of the family's 1533-position model. The record is from RNAcentral. Lineage: Bacteria; Bacillati; Actinomycetota; Actinomycetes; Micrococcales; Microbacteriaceae.
UCUGGCCUGCCGUUGGUUCGGGCAGGUUAGAAUGCGGUAGGGAAGAUUGCAAUUCCUAGUGUAGUGGUGGAAUGCGCAGAUAUCAGGAGGAACACCGAUGGCGAAGGCAGAUCUCUGGGCCGUAACUGACGCUGAGGAGCGAAAGCAUGGGGAGCGAACAGGAUUAGAUACCCUGGUAGUCCAUGCCGUAAACGUUGGGAACUAGAUGUAGGGCCUGUUCCACGGGUUCUGUGUCGUAGCUAACGCAUUAAGUUCCCCGCCUGGGGAGUACGGCCGCAAGGCUAAAACUCAAAGGAAUUGACGGGGGCCCGCACAAGCGGCGGAGCAUGCGGAUUAAUUCGAUGCAACGCGAAGAACCUUACCAAGGCUUGACAUAUACGAGAACGCUGUAGAGAUACAGAACUCUUUGGACACUCGUAAACAGGUGGUGCAUGGUUGUCGUCAGCUCGUGUCGUGAGAUGUUCGGUUAAGUCCGGCAACGAGCGCAACCCUCGUCCUAUGUUGCCAGCACGUUAUGGUGGGAACUCAUGGGAUACUGCCGUGGUCAACACGGAGGAAGGUGGGGAUGACGUCAAAUCAUCAUGCCCCUUAUGUCUUGGGCUUCACGCAUGCUACAAUGGCCGAUACAAAGGGCUGCGAUACCGCGAGGUGGAGCGAAUCCCAAAAAGUCGGUCUCAGUUCGGAUUGGGGUCUGCAACUCGACCCCAUGAAGUCGGAGUCGCUAGUAAUCGCAGAUCAGCAACGCUGCGGUGAAUACGUUCCCGGGCCUUGUACACACCGCCCGUCAAGUCAUGAAAGUCGGUAACACCCGAAGCCGGUGGCCUAACCUUUUGGAGGGAGCCGUCGAA